This 277-nucleotide long non-coding RNA is filed under the name Homo sapiens (human). Its description in RNAcentral is "non-protein coding lnc-RGPD1-4:2". The record is from RNAcentral. Lineage: Eukaryota; Metazoa; Chordata; Mammalia; Primates; Hominidae.
GGUGGCAUGAUCUCGGUUCACUGCAACCUCCACCUCCCAGGUUCAAGCGAUUCUCCUGUCUCAGCCUCCCAAGUAGCUAGGACUACAGGUACAUACCACGAUGCCUGGCUAAUUUUUGUAUUUUUAGUACAGUCAAGAGUUUCACCUUGUUGUCCAGGCUGGUCUCGAACUCCUGACCUCAGGUGAUCCACCCACCAUGGCCUCCCAAAGUGCUGGGAUUACAGGCAUAAGCCACCGCACCCAGCCUGAUAUUGCACUCUUGGAUUUUGAACACUGA